GCUCCAGUGGCCUAGUGGUAAGAGCAUCCAUCUUGGAUGCGGGAGGUCGCAUGUUCAAACCCUGGCCGAGUCA
Non-coding RNA from Potamilus streckersoni, 73 nucleotides. The record is from the annotation of a GenBank genome assembly. Lineage: Eukaryota; Metazoa; Mollusca; Bivalvia; Unionida; Unionidae.